This 484-nucleotide ribosomal RNA is filed under the name uncultured bacterium. RNAcentral's name for it is "bacterial SSU rRNA". It matches the Rfam family "Bacterial small subunit ribosomal RNA", at positions 355 to 852 of the family's 1533-position model. The record is from RNAcentral.
UGGGGAAUCUUGGACAAUGGGGGCAACCCUGAUCCAGCCAUGCCGCGUGAGUGAUGAAGGCCUUAGGGUCGUAAAGCUCUUUCGCCUGUGAAGAUAAUGACGGUAGCAGGUAAAGAAACCCCGGCUAACUCCGUGCCAGCAGCCGCGGUAAUACGGAGGGGGUUAGCGUUGUUCGGAAUUACUGGGCGUAAAGCGCACGUAGGCGGACCAGAAAGUUGGGGGUGAAAUCCCGGGGGCUCAACCCCGGAACUGCCUCCAAAACUAUUGGUCUAGAGUUCGAGAGAGGUGAGUGGAAUUCCAAAGUGUAGAGGUGAAAUUCGUAGAUAUUUGGAGGAACACCAGUGGCGAAGGCGGCUCACUGGCUCGAUACUGACGCUGAGGUGCGAAAAGUGUGGGGAGCAAACAGGAUUAGAUACCCUGGUAGUCCACACCGUAAAACGAUGAAUGCCAGUCGUCGGGUAAGCAUGCUAUUCGGUGACACACC